UACGUAGGGUGCAAGCGUUGUUCGGAAUCAUUGGGCGUAAAGCGCGUGUAGGUGGUUAUGCAAGUUGGAUGUGAAAUCCCUGGGCUCAACCGAGGAAGUGCAUCCAAAACUAUAUGGCUAGAGGACGGUAGAGGAAGGUGGAAUUCCUAGUGUAGAGGUGAAAUUCGUAGAUAUUAGGAGGAAUACCGGUGGCGAAGGCGGCCUUCUGGGCCGUUCCUGACACUGAGACGCGAAAGCGUGGGGAGCAAACAGG
Molecule: ribosomal RNA, 253 nt
Filed under: uncultured bacterium
Lineage: Bacteria
Description: partial 16S ribosomal RNA
Rfam family: Bacterial small subunit ribosomal RNA
Source: RNAcentral